CUCCAGACUCCUACGGGAGGCAGCAGUGGGGAAUAUUGCACAAUGGGGGAAACCCUGAUGCAGCGACGCCGCGUGAGCGAUGAAGUAUUUCGGUAUGUAAAGCUCUAUCAGCAGGGAAGAAAAUGACGGUACCUGACUAAGAAGCCCCGGCUAACUACGUGCCAGCAGCCGCGGUAAUACGUAGGUGGCAAGCGUUGUCCGGAUUUACUGGGUGUAAAGGGCGUGUAGCCGGGCUUACAAGUCAGAUGUGAAAUCCGGGGGCUCAACCCCCGAACUGCAUUUGAAACUGUAGGUCUUGAGUAUCGGAGAGGCAGGCGGAAUUCCUAGUGUAGCGGUGAAAUGCGUAGAUAUUAGGAGGAACACCAGUGGCGAAGGCGGCUUGCUGGGCUUUUACUGACGCUGAGGCUCGAAAGUGUGGGGAGCAAACAGGAUUAGAUACCCUUGUAC
This 447-nucleotide ribosomal RNA is filed under the name uncultured bacterium. RNAcentral describes it as "bacterial SSU rRNA". It matches the Rfam family "Bacterial small subunit ribosomal RNA", at positions 329 to 793 of the family's 1533-position model. The record is from RNAcentral.